AUGGCUCAGUUUCUGUUAUUCUGGAGCACCAACAGUGAGCAAUUAGAAGAAAUAAAUAAUUCCUAUUGUGGAAUUUCAGAAGAGAGAAGGGAGAGGUCAGGGGAGAACCCAUGGCAGAAACGUCAGAGACCAGCCUUCCAAACAAAGAAAAGGAACAUUUCUUCCUGCCCAGAGCCUCUUUUUCCAGUCACCACCCCAGAAGGAAAGUCGACCAUGAGUUUGGAAUACAAGCUUGGAGUACAGGGUGACUCAGAUAAAUACAGUCAGAAAAACUGUGAGAGGGAAGCGGAGUGA
RNAcentral lists this long non-coding RNA (294 nucleotides) under Chinchilla lanigera (long-tailed chinchilla). RNAcentral describes it as "lncRNA (ENSCLAG00000027817.1)". Lineage: Eukaryota; Metazoa; Chordata; Mammalia; Rodentia; Chinchillidae. The record is from RNAcentral.